GGCCAAAACAAGCCUUUGAUACAAUUGCUGCAAGACUACAAGGACAUACCAAAGUCAAAUAAGAAUGAUAUAAAUAAAGACUCAUUCAAAAGUAGUGUAUGUAGGAAGGGUUUAAUAUUAAUAGGAAGGGUUUAAUAGGAAGUAGGAAGGGGUUUAAUAUUAGUAGGAAGGGUUUAAUAUUAGUAGGAAGGGUUUAACAUUAAUAGGAAGGGUUUAAUAUUAGUAGGAAGGGUUUAAUAGGAAGUAGGAAGGGUUUAAUAGGAAGUAGGAAGGGUUUAAUAUUAAUAGGAAGGGUUUAAUAUUAAUAGGAAGGGUUUAAUAAGAAGUAGGAAGGGUUUCAUAUUAAUAGGAAGUAGGAAGGGUUUAACAUUAAUAGGAAGGGUUUAACAUUAAUAGGAAGGGUUUAAUAUUAAUAGGAAGGGUUUAAUAUUAAUAGGUAGUAGGACGGGUUUAAUAAGAAGUAGGAAGGGUUUAAUAUUAAUAGGAAGUAGGAAGGGUUUAACAUUAAUAGGAAGGGUUUAAUAAGAAUAGGAAGGGUUUAAUAAGAAGUAGGAAGGGUUUAAUAGGAAGUAGGAAGGGUUUCAUAUUAAACGGAAGUAGGAAGGGUUUAAUAGGAAGUAGGAAGGGUUUAAUAUUAGUAGGAAGGGUUUAAUAUGAAGUAGGAAGGGUUUAAUAGGAAGUAGGAAGGGUUUAAUAAGAAGUAGGAAGGGUUUAAUAGGAAGUAGGAAGGGUUUAAUAUUAGUAGGAAGGGUUUAAUAUGAAGUAGGAAGGGUUUAAUAGGAAGUAGGAAGGGUUUAAUAAGAAGUAGGAAGGGUUUAAUAUUAGUAGGAAUGGUUUAAUAGGAAGUAGGAAGGGUUUAAUAGGAAGUAGGAAGGGUUUAAUAGGAAGUAGGAAGGGUUUAACAUGAAGUAGGAAGGGUUUAAUGAGAAGUAGGAAGGGUUUAAUAGGAAGUAGGAAUGGUUUAAUAUGAAGUAGGAAGGGUUUAAUAUGAAGUAGGAAGGGUUUAAUGAGAAGUAGGAAGGGUUUAAUAGGAAGUAGGAAGGGUUUAAUAUGAAGUAGGAAGGGUUUAAUGAGAAGUAGGAAGGGUUUAAUAGGAAGUAGGAAGGGUUUAAUAGGAAGUAGGA
Long non-coding RNA from Oncorhynchus keta (chum salmon), 1124 nucleotides. RefSeq lists it as uncharacterized. The record is from RefSeq and is a predicted model, not a curated record. NCBI's taxonomy places the organism in Eukaryota, Metazoa, Chordata, Actinopteri, Salmoniformes, Salmonidae. The transcript is spliced from 5 exons.